ACGGGUGAGUAACGCGUGGGUAACCUGCCUCACACAGGGGGAUAACAGUUGGAAACGACCGCUAAUACCGCAUAACCCGCUGGUAUCGCAUGAUACUGACGGAAAAGAUUUUAUCGGUGUGAGAUGGACCCGCGUCUGAUUAGCCAGUUGGCAGGGUAACGGCCUACCAAAGCGACGAUCAGUAGCCGGCCUGAGAGGGUGAACGGCCACAUUGGGACUGAGACACGGCCCAAACUCCUACGGGAGGCAGCAGUGGGGAAUAUUGCACAAUGGGGGAAACCCUGAUGCAGCGGCGCCGCGUGAGUGAAGAAGUAUCUCGGUAUGUAAAGCUCUAUCAGCAGGGAAGAAAGAAAUGACGGUACCUGAGUAAGAAGCCCCGGCUAACUACGUGCCAGCAGCCGCGGUAAUACGUAGGGGGCAAGCGUUAUCCGGAAUUACUGGGUGUAAAGGGAGCGUAGACGGUGAAGUAAGUCUGGAGUGAAAGGCGGGGGCCCAACCCCCGGACUGCUCUGGAAACUAUUUGACUGGAGUGCAGGAGAGGUAAGCGGAAUUCCUAGUGUAGCGGUGAAAUGCGUAGAUAUUAGGAGGAACACCAGUGGCGGAGGCGGCUUACUGGACGGUAACUGACGCUGAGGCUCGAGAGCGUGGGGAGCAAACAGGAUUAGAUACCCUGGUAGUCCACGCCGUAAA
Molecule: ribosomal RNA, 690 nt
Filed under: uncultured bacterium
Lineage: Bacteria
Description: bacterial SSU rRNA
Rfam family: Bacterial small subunit ribosomal RNA
Source: RNAcentral